UUUUCAAUGAGUUUGCUAAGUUUAGGAUAGUUUUGCUUUUAUUUUGUUUUCACACUUAUUUCAUAAAUAAACAGCAGUUUGACCUCUUCUCACUCUGCAGGCCAUAACUGGAGCUACGAGUAUCNNNNNNNNNNNNAUGCGUUGGAAAGCUAAGACAAAGAGAUACAACUUUGAUGUUGGAGCGAAAUUCAAAUUCCGAAGUUUACGUCGUGCCACGAUGGGUUAUAUCGUACCACGAUGAGAAUGGAAAAAAUCUGCACAUAAUCUGCAAAUCUUGAGGACCAAGCAGCCAUCCCAUCGCGCCACGAUCAAUCCAACGCACCACGAUGCUGCUUAGAAAUUAAGUCGAAAAAGCCUAUAAAUAGAGCCUUAGUCUCUCAUAUUUUAUUCAUUCCAGUUUUUGAGAAACUCUUGUAGCCUCUAGUAUUCUAUGGCUUGCUAAACCACUAGGGUUGAUAUGCUGUAAGGGGAUUUCUCCAAGACCUUGAGGUUAUUUAUAUUAUUCAG
This 507-nucleotide long non-coding RNA is filed under the name Trifolium pratense (red clover). RNAcentral describes it as "long non-coding RNA (TPRA_LNC009343)". Lineage: Eukaryota; Viridiplantae; Streptophyta; Magnoliopsida; Fabales; Fabaceae. The record is from RNAcentral.